Molecule: transfer RNA, 67 nt
Filed under: Vicugna pacos huacaya
Lineage: Eukaryota; Metazoa; Chordata; Mammalia; Artiodactyla; Camelidae
Description: tRNA-Pro
Source: RNAcentral
CAGGGGGUAGUUUAAUAAGAAUUCCAGCUUUGGGUGCUGGUGGUAGGGCUUUGGCCCUUUCCCUGAG